This is a long non-coding RNA of Aricia agestis (brown argus), 333 nucleotides long. RefSeq lists it as uncharacterized. NCBI's taxonomy places the organism in Eukaryota, Metazoa, Arthropoda, Insecta, Lepidoptera, Lycaenidae. The record is from RefSeq and is a predicted model, not a curated record. The transcript has 3 exons.
CUAUAGGUUUAUGUGCUAAUAGUAUUAUUUCUCGAUAAUACAGAAGAUCGAAACAAUCUAUUGCAGGGUGCCUGCGCGCGGCGCGUCACGGCCACCUUGCACAUCCGAGAACGCAUACGGACUGGGAGUAUUCAGCGACUUACGCCCGCGCCGGCUGCCUGCAGCGCAGUGCCUACUGAUCCUGCAUUCCUGCGUUAUCAGUAAACUCAGCUGUUCUAUUCAUUGAAGCGAGGCCGUAUUCAAAUACAAAAAAUCAAGCAAGACUUCUGGAAUCGCUGGAGCCAGGAAUAUAUCUCCGAGCUACAAGCCCGCACCAAAUGGCGUAUAAAGAAA